Molecule: long non-coding RNA, 8834 nt
Filed under: Homo sapiens (human)
Lineage: Eukaryota; Metazoa; Chordata; Mammalia; Primates; Hominidae
Description: non-protein coding lnc-RUBCN-2:8
Source: RNAcentral
GCCGUGCAGCUGGAGACCCGGCAGGGAGCUGAUGUUCCGGUUGUAGGGCUGUGCAGCCGGAGACCCAGGGGGAAGCUGAUGUUCCAGUUGUAGGGCCGUGCUACUGGAGACCCAGGGGUGGAGCUGAUGUUCCAGUUUGAGGGCCAUGCAGUUGAUGACCCGGCGGGGAGCUGAUGUUCAAGUUUGAGGUCUGUGCAGCUGGAGACCCGCGGGGGAGCUGAUGUUCCAGUUUGAUGGCCAUGCAGCUGGAGGCUCUGAUGGGAGCUGAUGUUGCAAUUUGAGGGCCAUGCAGCUGGAGACCUGGCAGGGAGCUGAUGUUCCAGUUUGAGGGCCGUGCAGCUGGAGACCCGGCAGGGAACUGAUGUUCCAGUUUGAGGGCCAUGCAUCUGGAGACCUGGGCGGGGAGCUGAUGUUCCAGUUUAAGGCCAUGCAGCUGUAUGCCCGGGGGGAACUGAUGUUGCAGUUUGAGGGCCAUGCAUCUGGAGACCCGGUGGGGAGCCAGUGUUGCAGGUUGAGGGCCGUGCAGCUGGAGACCCUGUGGGGAGCUGAUGUUCCUGUUUGAGAGCCGUGCAGCUGGAGAUCCUGUGGGGAGCUGAUGUUCCUGUUUGAGAGCCGUGCAGCUGGAGAUCUGGUGGGGAGCUGAUGUUCCUGUUUGAGAGCCGUGCAGCUGGAGAUCCUGUGGGGAGCUGAUGUUCCUGUUUGAGAGCCGUGCAGCUGGAGAUCUGGUGGGGAGCUGAUGUUCCAGUAUGAGGGCCGUGCAGCUGGAGACCUGGUGGGGAGCUGAUGUUCCAGUUUGAGGGCCGUGCAGCUGGAUACCCGGCAGGGAGCUGAUGUUCCAGUUUGAGGGCCGUGCACCUGGAGACCCGGCAGGGAGCUGAUGUUCCAGUUUGAGGGCUGUGCAGCUGGAUACCGGGGGUGGAGCUGAUGUUCCAGUUUGAGGGCCAUGCAUCUGGAGACCCAGUGGGUAGCCAGUGUUGCAGGUUGAGGGCUGUGGAGCUGGAGACCCGGGUUGGGGGGAGCUGAUGUUCCAGGUUGAGGGCCAUGCUGCUGGAGAUCCAGCGGGGAGCUGAUGUUGCAGUUUGAGGCGGUGCAGCUGGACAUGCAGGGGGGAAGUGAUGUUGCAAUUUGAGGGCUGUGCAGCUGGAGACCCUGUGGGGAGCUGAUGUUCCUGUUUGAGGGUUUCGGAGCUGAUGUUCCAGUUUAAGGCCAUGCAGCUGGAGACCCGGUGGGGAGCCGAUGUUCCAGUUUGAGGGCCAUGCAUCUGGAGACCCGGUGGGGAGCUGAUGUUGCAGGUUGAGGGCCGUUCAUCUGGAGACCCAGUGGGGAGCUGAUGUUGCAGGUUGAGGGCUGUGCACCUGGAGCCCCGGGGUGGAGCUGAUAUUCCAGUUUGAGGGCCGUGCAGCUGGCAAUCUGGUGGGGAGCUGAUGUUCCAGUUUGAGGGCCAUGCAGCUGGAGACCCGGCAGGGAGCUCAUGUUCCAGUUUGCAGGCAGUGCAGCUGGAGACCCGGCGGGGAGCUGAUGUUCCAGUUUGAGGUCCGUGCAGCUGGAGAUCUGGUGGGGAGCUGAUGUUCCAGUUUGAGGGCCCUGCAGCUGGAGACCCAUGGGGAUCUGAUGUUCCAGUUUGAGGGUGGUGCUGCUGGCGACCCAGGCGGGAGCUGAUGUUCUAGUUUUAGGGCCCUGCAGCUGGAGACCCGGGGAGGAGCUGACGUUCCCAUUCGAGGGCUGUGCAGGUGGAGACCUGGGGAGGAGCUGAUGUUGUUCUAAUUUGAGUGUGGUGCAGCUGGAGAUCCAGGGAUGAGAUGGCCCUGCAGUUCAAAUAUGAGGGUCCCGGAGCUGGACUCUACGUGAGGAACCAAUGCUGCCUCUGAUGUCUUAGGUUGUGGAGCUGGAAACUCGUGGAGGAGCUGGUAUUGGUGUUUCUAGUUGAGGGUUGUGGUAUUUCCAGGGUUUCACAAAGGCCAGAUUUUAUUUCAGUUACUGAGAAGAGAAAGAAAAUGUCUUCUGAAAGAGGUGAACUCAGUCAUUACCAAUAGAAAAAGUAUCCACUGUAUUUAUCUCUUAUACAAACAGAAAAAUAUAACAUUUUCCCCCUUAGAAUAAUAUAUAUAUAUAUAUAAAACUUAAGGUUCUAUUGUAUGUAUCCGAACAACAAAAUCUGGAAACCAGCAUGAAACUCUAUUAUUCACAUGUUAAAAUGUUGAAACUAUGACCAAAAUAUGAAAACUGCUGGAGCUAUCAGAAAGACACAAGACAAAAAGCUUCUUGCAUAUGUAUAAACUAAAUGUGAUAAUCUCAAAAAACUGUUCAAAAUUAUAAUUACUUUCCAGUUUAAAAACUUUAAUCCUAAAUUAAAAAAAAAAAAUCUAUACACAAACCACUGAUUUGCCCAGAGCAAAGAAAGAAAGAAAGAAAGAAAGAAAGAAAGAAAGAGAAAUCAGCGGUAAGGUAAGCAGGACCCAGAGGAGCUGAUAUUCACAGUUCUUACAUGUACAACUCUUUCAGGAAUUAUCCAUAAAGUACUUUAUUUUACAACCUGCUUUACUUGUAAAACUAAAGGUGCACUUUUUUACAUAAAAGUUUUAUACAGUGUUAAAACCAGAACUGUGUGUAAAAUACUGCAUGUAAAUGUUUCUAAAUAGUCUUGUUCCAGUGGUUCAUCGGUGACUUCUGUGGCUUCGUCAUCAUUAUCCAUGGAUGAUUCUGAAAGAAUCUCUCCAGUUUUACUGGAAUUGGAUCCUACUAAUUCUUCUGUUUCACGGCAGUCAGAAGAACCACUACUUUCAGGGCCUUCGUUUUCACUACCUUCAGAAUGUAGUAAAUCUUUCUCAGCUUGAGACACAUCAGAUUCCUCCAUUUCAUUAUUUUCCUCAGAAGUCUCUUCAUUCACAGUUGAGGCAUCAUCAGAUUCUUUUUCUUGGUUUUUUCUUUCUGGGACCAUUUCUCUUGAUGUCAUAAAAGACUCUAAAAAUAAGCAAAUGUUGUUGUACUUAAAUUUUAUAUUCAAAAUACCUCCACAGUUAAGUUUUGUGAAUUCUGAUGUUCUGUAGUUCAAAUCACAUCCCCUGAAAUUCAGCAGCAACUGCAUACAGGUGGGAGAAAAGCCCAGCGUCGACAUUACAAGGAGUUCCAUGAUGUACAAUUCUUUCACGAAAACAAUGAAUGCAAGAAUUUGAGGAUCUCCUUACUCCUCCCUUUUACAGAUGGUCUCUCAAUCCCUUCUUCUUCCUCUUCAUCUUCAUCUUCUUCUGAACGCGCUGCCGGGUACCACGGCUUUCUUUGUCUUUAUCGUGAGAUGAAGGUGAUGCUUCUGUUUCUUCUACCAUAACUGAAGAAAUUUCGCUGCAAGUCUCUUGACUGGCUGUUUCUCCGACUUCGCCUUUUUGUCAAACGUGAGUCUUUUUACCUCAUGCCCCUCAGCUUCCACAGCAUCUUCAUCUGGAUGUUUAUUUCUCAAAGGGCUCACUGAGGAAACUUCUGAUUCAGAUGUCGAAGAGUCACUGUGAGUUUUCUCUUCAUUUUGCUGCAAAUUUGCCUCUUUGCUGUCUGUGCUCUCAGGCCACCCAUUUGUUGUCAUGGGGGCUGACAGAGAAACCUUUGGUCGAUUACGUGGCCUGGGUGUCCCAGGCCCAUUUAUAUUAGACCUCUCAGUAUAGCUUGGUGCAUUUCCAGGAAACAUCACACCAUUCAUUCGAUUUAAACUAUUGGAAUUGUUUUUCUCUGAAGAAGGAUAAACACAGCUAACAACCAUCACGUUCUUUUCUACUCCUCUGAGAAAUUUGUCUGUUCCUGUAUAGUUUCUCCUUGGAUCUGUUAACAAUUCACAUAGUCGCUGAAUAGUAAAAGGGAUACGGUUAAAUCCAGUGACAGUUUUCAGUAUUCUUCCCUUUGUUUCAUCAAAGGGAAUAUAUUCGACUUUAGGGUUGGGAGGACCUCUUGGCGCAGGAGCUGAAGUUCUGAAAUCAUCUAUCACUUUCUCCAGUUUGAAAAUAAAAUAGCCUUUAAAUUGGGACCACUGAAUCUGUUUCUCCAGUCUUGGCUACAUGACAAAGGAACUGAUCCAGGACAGGACAGACUUUCUUUUUUGCCUCUUCUCAAAAUCUUCCAGCGCCUCCUGGAGCCUGUCGACGUCCAUGGCUUCCCAGAGUCCCUCACAGCCUCCGUCUCCCUCCGCGGGUCUCUUGGGGACCGGAACGCCUCCCCCCACCCCCCGACAUCCUCCCACUCCCUCGCACACCCUCCAGCACGCAGGCCAAGUGGGGUGGGGGGGAACGAAGGGAGCCAGGGGAAGCGUGUGAGAGAGUGAGACCGACAGAGUGAGCACCUCCCCAAGCCGCUACCACCAGCCCUCCAACAUGGCGCCUGGCACAUCACCCUAAAAAGUCAUUUCUUGGAGAAGCGAUGGAUGACAGAGAUUAAUCUGAGAGUUACUAUUAAUGGAGAAACUUAGAACUUACCAUUUUUCCUGUGAGGUUUCGGUGCUGAUACUUCUAUUCUGUGAGUUCUGGCAAUUGUGUCCGUUCACCCAGCCUGGUGAUGCAGCAGGUGUCACAGAAGGACCCUGUCCCAGCUGGUCCUGCUCCACUGCUAGGAUGGUGUGGCCUCUGAUCUGUGACCGUGUCUUGAGGGGAGACCAGGCCCUUGAUCACAAGCGUAUCCAUGGUGAGGUUCCGUGGAUGGAAGCUCAUGGAUGUUCCUUCCUGAUGUUCAUCUGCCACCAUGCUAUUGAAUGCAUCUUGUUUAUAACUGUCUUCUAAAUAUUGAAUAGAAAUAAAGCAUUUGUACAGUAUGGUUAAGGUAUAAAGAAUAUUGACACAUUGGACACAGAGGACCUCCACCAAGUUUAGGGAGUAGAAUCUGAAGAGACAUAGCUUUGGAUGCUCCCUGGAGGCCCUGCCUGAGUCCCAGUCCCUUCCCUUCUCCUACGGAGGGAAUCAUUUCCUGCUUUAGUCUUUAUUAUUUGCACACUUUCCUUCAUAGUAUGUUUCUUUCACCGUGUGUGUACAUCCCUAAAAGAUAUGCCAUUUAGUUUUUGAACUUUCUGUUUUCUUUUUGAGGCAGGGUCUUGCUCUGUUGCCUCGGCUGUAGUUUUGAACUUUGACGUGAGGGAAUUCUCCUGCGUGGCUGCUCCUGCACUGCAUGGCUCUGAGCACCUGCUCUGUGUCUAUUUUUGUCCUCCAUUCUCUCCCUGAGACCCACCCACACUGACAUGGCUCAUUUUCAUUGCUGCAUGGUCUCCCGUCGUCUGAGGGGAGCAUGGGAAAUGUCUUCAUCUUCCCGUGGAUGAGUGUUUGGCCAGGUUGGGGCCCUUAGGACUGUGUUUUGUUGGGAACGUUCUUGGGCAUUUCUUUUGUACACAGCGCAAGUUUCUUCUGGUCAGUAGCUUUCAAAUUUUAAAAUUUCAUCCCAGGUAAAAAUGUAAUUUUCCUCAUAACCCACAACACACACUCUUUCAUAUACAAGCAUAGCAGAAAUAUACUUCACAAGCGUUAGCAGUGCCUGUUGUUCCUGCUUCUCUCCAUUCUCCCCAACGCUGGCAUGGAUUGGGUUGUGGGAUUUUUGCCCGUCUGGUGGUUGUCACGUGAUAUCUCCCCCUGUUAGGCUGAGCCCCUCUUCAUGUUUUCAUUAGCCAUUCCUCCACAUUUCCUCUUCUGUGGAGGGCCGGUUCAGCUCUUUUGCCCAGUUUCUGUUAAGUUGUUUGAAUUUUUGCACUUUUCCUUUAUUAUUCCUAUUACUAUGUUUUUGAGACAGAAUAUCACUCUGUCACCCAGGCUGGAUGUGAUCUCAGCUCACUGCAACCUCCAUCUUCUGGGUUCAAAUGAUUCUCCUGCCUCAGCCUCCCAAGUGGCUGGGAUUACAGGCACACACCACCAUGCCCAGCUAAUUUUUAUAUGUUUACUACAGAUGGGUUUUCACUAUGUUGUCCAGGCUGGUCUGAAACUCCUGACCUCAGGUGAUUCUCCCACCUCAGCCUCCCAAAGUGCUGGGAUUAUGUGGGUGGCAAGCCACCCAGGCACCGAGGCAAGAGACAGAGGACACGAGCUGUUCCAGUAUAAUAAAAUAUAAAACAAGAAUAGUUAUGCCAGAUAUAGAUCUUAGAUAUGAUUAUAUAUGAAUAUCAUUAAUCAUUAGUUUGUAGCAAUUGCUUUUUAUUCCAAUAUUAUGAUAAUCCUCGCUCUAUAAUCAUAGUGUAGGAAAAACCAGGCCAUACAGAGAUAGGAGCUGAGGGGACAUAGUGAGGUGUGACCAGAAGACAAGAGUGCGAGCCUUCUGUUAUGCCCGGACCGGGCCACCAGAGGGCUCCUUGGUCUAGCGGUGAUGCCAGCGUCUGGGAAGAUGCCUGUUACCAGGCGGAUCGUGGUCCAGCAGUAGCAAAAGGUGUCAAGGAACAACACCCGAUACUUAGCAGACCAGGAAAGGGCGGGGGGGGGGGGGGUCUCCCUUUCCCCGGGGGAGUUUAGAGAAGACUCUGCUCCUCCACCUCUUGUGGAGGGCCUGACAUCAGUCAGGCUCGCCUGCAGUUAUCCGGAGGCCUAACCGUCUCCCUGUGAUGCUGUGCUUCAGUGGUCACGCUCCUAGUCCGCCUUCAUGUUUCAUCCUGUACACCUGGCUCUGCCUUCUAGAUAGCAGUAGUAAAUUAGUAAAAAUACUAAUAGUCCCUGAUAUGCGGAAAUAAUGGCAUAAGCUGUCUUUCUCUCUGUCUCCUCUCCCUCUCUGCCUCGGCUGCCAGGCAGGGAAGGGCCCCCUGUCCAGUGGACACGUGACCCACGUGACCUUACCUAUCAUUGGAGGUGACUCACAUUCUUUACCCUGCCCCUUCUGCCUUGUAUCCAAUAAAUAACAGCGCAGCCAGACAUUCGGGGCACUACUGUUCUCCGCGCAUUGGUGGUAGUGGUCCCCCAGGCCCAGCUGCCCUUUCUCUUAUCUCUUUGUCUUGUGUCUUUAUUUCUACAACACUCUCUCGUCGCCGCACACAGGGAGAGACCCACCGACCCUGUGGGGCUGGUCCCUGCAGGGUUAUAGGCAUGAGCCACCAUGCCCGGCCUGCUUUUUUCUUUUUCAAAAGGCCUGUUUCUAGAUUAUACCUAUUCAUUCCGGUGACUAUAUGUGGGGCAAAGAUGGGUUUGAAUCCACCAGGAUAAACGUGCCGGAUCUCCUCUCUGAUGGAAGAAGAGACAGGGAUAGAAGGGUACAGAGAAUCAGAGCCAAGAGGAGGCUGAGUCAGGCGGGGGUUGCAGGCUGCUGUGAGGACUUGGCUGCUUCUCUGAGACUGGUGGGAUUAGCAGGGGAUUUAAACAGAGGAACCGUGGGAUCUCCCUUAUGCAUUUCUGCCAUGGUUGGCUCAGCUGAACGCACCUCUUGAGCAAGACUUGGUCUUGGACACCCAGAGGCCCUUGGUUGAGGGUUUACCUCCUGGCGUGGCCACUGACACAUCCACGUUUGGCUCCCACACGGCUGGGCGGCCCCGAGACCUGCUGUGCCUGCCCUUCUCAUUGGUGGCAUUUCUCAAGUUUGUCCCCUCUCAAGUCUGCCCCAUCCGGAAAACCAAACACCUCUCUCUCCUACAUGGAAACCCCCGUCAGCACCUCCUCCUGACUCACAGGGCAUCCCGUCAACAUCACAGUCCCAACCUUCCCACACGGACAAGCUCAUGGGACCCCCUGAUGGACCAGGACAGCGCCAGCACUAAGACGUGCCCUGGAACUCACAGGAAGAGCGGACCAAGAAGCCGGGAACAGCACGGGGCACUGGGAGCUGCAAACGCCCACGAUACUGUGAGAGACGGAGAAAGGUAUGACAGGUGGAGCGGACCAAGAAGACGGGAACAGCACGGCGCACUGGGAGCUGCAAAUGCCCCCGAUACCGUAAGAGAUGGAGAAAGGUAUGGCCAUGGCGGUCACAAAAUGUUACUCAACAUUUAUUAAAGGCCUAAAUGGAGAACCUAACGCUAUCAAACCCUUAGCUAAAAACACAGGGGAAAAUUCGUAUGGCCUGGGGUUAGGCGAAAAGUUCUUAGACAUGACACCAAAAGCAUGAUUCAUAAGAUUGACAAAUUAAAUGUAGUCAUAAAUUUAAAAUUAUAAUUCUAUAAAGCAAUAUAAAAAUCCAAAGAGAAUGAAACACAAACUAUGGUCUAGAAAUAAACAUUUGUGAAUCACACAUCUCACAACCUACUGGCACGCAGGAUAUAUGAAGAACCAUCAAAACUUAACCAUAAGAAAGUAAAAACCCCAGUAUUAAAGAGAGGGCCAAUAUUGGAACGGAGGCCUCAUCAAAGAAGGUAUAAGGAGGGCAUAUUGCCCGAGAAAGAGGCUCAACAUCAUAGAGAUGCUGGAGAAAUGCCAGUCAGCAGUACCUCUGCAAAUCCAUUAAAAUGGCUAAAAACAGACAAAACCCAUGGGCCAACCCAGGUUCUAGUGAUGAUGCAGAGGAACUGGGACCCUCAUAAGCUGCAGUGGGAAUGGGAGGGGUCCCGCCAUGCUGGAAAGUGGUCCGGGAGUUUCUUACGAAGUUAAGCACAUCCUUACCAUGUCAUCCAGCAACCCCACUGCUGAAAUGUCCCCCAAGGGAAAACUUAAACGUGCACACACAAACCUGCACACAAGUGUUUAGGCCUCAUUCCUCAUUGCCAAUAACUGGAAGAAAACAAAAUGUCCGUCGGCAGGAGCAGGAGAAGGCGUGAACCAACGCGGAUGCUUCCACAUAGGGGACACCAACCAGCGGUGGAAAGAUGCACCCAAAUGCGCCAGGUCUCCCAGGCUACAUGCCCGGUGAAGGAAGCUAGUUUCGGUGGCCACAGGCCGAAGGAUGCCAACACAUGACAUCUUGGAGAAGAC